Molecule: long non-coding RNA, 915 nt
Organism: Ictalurus punctatus (channel catfish)
Lineage: Eukaryota; Metazoa; Chordata; Actinopteri; Siluriformes; Ictaluridae
Source: Ensembl
AGUUAAUUAUUUGUCAUGCUAUACAUGCAAUUGGACGACUGCUUGAAGCCGUGGGCUGCGUCCAAAACCACGUACUUACCUGCUAUAUAGUAGCUGAGAUACAUGUAUUUCACCUACUAUAUGCAUGUAUUUCACCUACUAUUUAGUAGGUGAAAUACUUGUAUAUAGCAGGUGAAAUACAUGUAUAUAGUAGGUGAAAUACAAGUUUUUUGGCUACGAUAUAGUAGGUGAAAUACUUGUAUAUAGUAGAAUAAGUGUAUAUAGUAGGUAAAAUACAUGAAUAUAGUAGGUGAAAUACAUGUAUAUAGUAGGUGAAAUACAUGUAAGUAGUAGGUGAAAUACAUGUAUAUAGUAGAAUACGUGUAUAUAGUAGGUGAAAUACUUGUACAUAGUAGGUGAAAUACAUGUAUAUAGUAGAAUACGUGUAUAUAGUUGGUGAAAUACUUGUAUAUAUUAGGUGAAAUACACGUAUUUCGGCUACAAUAUAGUAGAUGAAAUACAUGUAUAUGGUAGAAUACAUGUAUAUAGUAGGUGAAAUACAUGUAUACAGUAGGUGAAAUACAUGUAUAUAGUGGAAUACGUGUAUAUAGUAGGUGAAAUACACGUUUUUUGGUUACGAUAUAGUAGGUGAAAUACAUGUAUAUAGUAGAAUAUGUGUAUAUAGUAGGUGAAAGACAUGUAUAUAGUAGGUGAAAUACACGUAUUUCGGCUACGAUAUAGUAGGUGAAAUACAUGUAUAUAGUAGAAUACAUGUAUAUAGUAGGUACAAUACAUGUAUAUAGUAGAAUAUGUGUAUAUAGUAGGUACAAUACAUGUAUAUAGUAGAAUAGUGUAUAUAGUAGGUGAAAGACAUGUAUAUAGUAGGUGAAAUACACGUAUUUCGGCUACGAUAUAGUAGGUGAAAUACAUGUAUAA